This is an RNA transcript of Lolium perenne, 2101 nucleotides long. It is a transcript of the gene named EID1-like F-box protein 3, with no coding region annotated. Lineage: Eukaryota; Viridiplantae; Streptophyta; Magnoliopsida; Poales; Poaceae. The record is from RefSeq and is a predicted model, not a curated record.
UUCUUGAUAAAAAAAAGUGGGGUCUUUCAUGCAACAAAAAAAAAAAGACAAGUAGACAAGUGGUAGUGCUAGUAGAAUAUCACUGGUGGUGAGAGGGGCAAGUGCUCAAGAGUCCAUUCCAAGAAUGGUAUUGAUGUUGGAGGCAAGAAAGAGCAAUUAUCGGGUGCCGACUUCCUUCUUGUAGCUAAAUAUCGCUUUCUAUUAAUGGGAAAAAAAGAGGGAGCUCUCUUUGCUAAAAAGAGUGGGGUUACCGACUGCCGCUGGAGAUAUUUGUCACUAGCGGUUUGGAGCUUUGGAUCGCUACCAGGACCGGUCGGCCGGGUGGAUCGAGAUCGGCCAGACCGCCUCUCCUCCGGGCAGCACGGUUGGCACGGGAGGAGGGAAUCAUGAGCGAGGGCACGCUGAAAAUGGUGAGGCGGCUGCGCGUCCCCGACAGCGGCGGCAGCAGCAGCAUAGGCAUCGUCGCCGACGACUGGAACGGCGGCGGGCGCUGCAUAGGCGCCCGGAUCCGCGGCGUCAACGUGGGGUUCCUGGACGAGCAGGUGCUGGUGCUGGUAUUCCGCGCGCUCGACUGGGACCCCCGGACGCUCUCCUCCGUGGCGCGCGCCAGCCGCCGCCUCCGCGCCGUCGCGGAGCGCGUGCUGUGGCGCGACCUGUGCGCCUCGAGGGCGCCGCUGAUGGUGGCGGCGCUCACGACCACGGCGACGGGGCGCGUCGGCGGCGGGUGGCCGGCGCUGGCGAAGCUGCUCCUCUUCUGCUCCGGCGCUGCGGCGGGGGCCGCCGUGCCGGGCCACUUCGCCCCCAUGUCCCGGUUCUCCAAGACGUCCGGGCGGAGCUUCCUGCCGCGGCGCUGCGGCAGGGACGUCCUGUACGUGUCGGACCCGUGCGAGCACGCGGCGCCCGGCGACGACGGCGAAGACGACUUGGGAGCGUACCGGGGCGUGUUCCGCGGGUUCGUGGGGUCCCGCACGCGCGCCCGCCUGGUGGACAGCCGCGUCCCGCUAGAGCCAACCGUGCGGUGCCCCUACUGCGGCGCGAGCGUCUGGAACGUGGCCGCGCCGCGCGGCGCGCGCCGCCGCCUCGGCGCGCACGAGAGGCGGCUCCAGUACUUCGUCUGCGUCAGCGGCCACCUCCACGGCAGCUGCCGGCUCGCGCGCCUCACCUCCAGCGACGGCGGCGCCGUUGGCUCCGGCUCCGACGACGACGAUGACGGGUUCGCUGACGCCGACAGCGGACGACUGAGGACGACCGGGCGCCUGGCGGUGUAAAGCAAAGAGCCGGCCACUUGAUGAAAGCAGUUUUAAUUAGUAUCAUCCCUGUCCUCACCGCCGUCGAUCACCAGCAUCGUCCCCUAGCCGGCACCAUGAGUCGACAAUGGAUGUACGGUGACCGGUGCCAUCCCGACUUCAUUAAUGGCAUGCAUUAUUUUCUCAACGUGGCUGAGGCAAACAGGAAGUCGAAUGGUUUCAUCUAUUGUCCAUGUAGUUCCUGUAAGAAUACGAUGGAUUACUCUACCUCAAAGACCAUCCACGUCCACCUGCUGUAGAACGGUUUCAUGCGCAGCUAUAAUUGUUGGACCAAGCACGGAGAAAGAGGGAUUAUAUUGGAAGACAACGAAGAAGAAGAGGAUAGUGACAACUAUCCUAUGUUCACUGAAGACGGUGAUAGUAGAAUGCGCGAAACAACCACUGGGGACUGAUCUAUGUGGAUACUACGUUUGCGAGUACAUCCACAGAAUUGUCAGCGAGAGAGUGAAUAAUGAAAAAAAUAGAGAGUUGAGAAGAAAGCGGGAGAAGAUCUCAAUCGAGGAGCGCUUCAAAGCAAUUGGCGAGGAAUUGGCGGGAUUUUUCCUUCGGGAAGUCAUACCACCAUCCGGAGAGUUCCACUAUGCAUAAAGAUCUUCUCCCGCUCCUCGAUUUCUUUUUGUAUAUAUAGUUCGACUCGGAGUGUACCACUAUGGUACAUGUAAUAGAUAGUAUGCCUCGGAGAGUACCACUACGCAUGAAGAUCGAUCUUCAUGCAUGUACUACUUUAUUCUGGUGCAUCGACUUGAUAUGCAUCGAAGAGUACUACUUAUGCAGUUACAUGUGUGUUAUAUUAU